AUUGAACGCUGGCGGCAGGCUUAACACAUGCAAGUCGAGCGAGCGGCGGACGGGUGAGUAAUGUCUGGGAAACUGCCUGAUGGAGGGGGAUAACUACUGGAAACGGUAGCUAAUACCGCAUACCAUCAGAUGUGCCCAGAUGGGAUUAGCUAGUAGGUGGGGUAAUGGCUCACCUAGGCGACGAUCCCUAGCUGGUCUGAGAGGAUGACCGGCCAAAGUGGAACUGCGAAACGGUCCAGACUCCUAGGGGAGGAAGCGGGGGGGAAUAUUGCACAAUGGGCGCAAGCCGGAUGCAGCCAUGCGGCGUGGGUGAAGAAGGCCUUCGGGUUGUAAAGUACUUUCAGCGAGGAGGCGUUACUCGCAGAAGAAGCACCGGCUAACUCCGUGCCAGCAGCCGCGGUAAUA
Molecule: ribosomal RNA, 405 nt
Filed under: uncultured bacterium
Lineage: Bacteria
Description: partial 16S ribosomal RNA
Rfam family: Bacterial small subunit ribosomal RNA
Source: RNAcentral